Molecule: ribosomal RNA, 460 nt
Filed under: uncultured bacterium
Lineage: Bacteria
Description: partial 16S ribosomal RNA
Rfam family: Bacterial small subunit ribosomal RNA
Source: RNAcentral
CCUACGGGUGGCUGCAGUGAGGAAUAUUGGUCAAUGGACGUAAGUCUGAACCAGCCAAGUCGCGUGCAGGAUGACGGUUCUAUGGAUCGUAAACCUCUUUUAUGAGGGGAUAAACUGUGGUACGUGUCCUCUUUUGUAUGUACCUUAUGAAUAAGGAUCGGCUAACUCCGUGCCAGCAGCCGCGGUAAUCCGGAGGAUCCGGGCGUUAUCCGGAUUUAUUGGGUUUAAAGGGUGCGUAGGCGGCCUGUUAAGCCAGCGGUGAAAUGCCGUGGCUCAACCAUGGAAUUGCGGUGGAAACUGGGGGGCUGGAGUGUGUUGAAGGCAGGCGGAAUGCGUGGUGUAGCGGUGAAAUGCUUAGAUAUCACGCAGAACCCCGAUUGCGAAGGCAGCAUGCGAAGGCAUGACUGACGCUGAUGCACGAAAGCGUGGGUAUCAAACAGGAUUAGAUACCCGUGUAGUC